UACGGGGGGAGCAAGCGUUGUUCGGAUUUACUGGGCGUAAAGGGCGCGUAGGCGGCCACCGCAAGUCAAUUGUGAAAUCUCCGGGCUUAACUCGGAAAGGUCAACUGAUACUGCGGGGCUAGAGUGCGGAAGGGGCAACUGGAAUUCUCGGUGUAGCGGUGAAAUGCGCAGAUAUCAGGAAGAACACCAAUGGCGAAGGCAGCUCGCUAGGACGGUACUGACGCUGAGGCGCGAAAGCGUGGGGAGCAAACGGG
This 254-nucleotide ribosomal RNA is filed under the name uncultured bacterium. Its description in RNAcentral is "partial 16S ribosomal RNA". It matches the Rfam family "Bacterial small subunit ribosomal RNA", at positions 524 to 776 of the family's 1533-position model. The record is from RNAcentral.